UUUAUAAAAUUUUGGGAUUUUCUUAAAAUCAACUGUUAUUCAACUUAUGAUUUUUAAAUAUCUUUCCAAAUCCCAUGUUAUUGAACUUGAGAUUUAUGUAAAGUCAUUCAAAAUAACUCACAAUCACUUGUUAUUCAAUCAAAGAUUUAAAAACUUCAUAUCAAAUCAACUGUUAUUGAAACUUACCAAAAAAAAAUGAAAGAGAUAUUCAACAUUGAUUUUGGGAGACUUUUGGAUAAGUUUUUACUUGAAAAAUAGGCAUGAACAAAUCACACCUUUAUAGGUGUUAUUUGGAAGGAUUUUAUAAAUAAAAAAUAUCACAAGAAAUAUUCUAAUCACCAUCUCGUCUUCUGUUCUUCAAGGAGAUGAAGAAGAGAGGGACGAAGAGAAUUAUAAACUGUCAACAAAGAAGAAGAGGAGAGGAUGAUCUAAGGAGGAGAAAUCGAUUCCCUCUUACGACACGAUCGAAACAGAAUUCUCGAUUGGGCUAAGAUUUUAAUGGGAAUCGAAGAUUUUAGGUCUGAAAACUGCGUCGGCAUCGGGUGGUAACGAAGUAUCUGAGGGAAGGAAAGUAUUGCAGAUUAUACUUGAGUAUGAAAAGAUGAAAUGUAUUAAAGUUGUACUGGAUGAAGAAAGUGUGUUCAAAAGGCUGGAUGAAGAAAUAAGUAUUGUUCAUAAGAGUGCUGCUUUUGGUGAUGUGAAGGGUCUGAAAACUGCGUUGCUACUGCUAAUAAAGAUGAAGAAGACUCCGAGGGAAGGACAGCUCAGCAUUUGGCAUGCAUGCUCGUAUGGCAAGGUAUGUUAAUCUCUUUAACCAUAUCUUAGAAGGAGUUGACAAUUACCAUCAAUCUAUCGGCCUUUACUUGUCGUGUUUAACCACGGGUUUGGACUCCACUUACACUUUCUUUUUUUUUUUUU
This is a long non-coding RNA of Arabidopsis lyrata subsp. lyrata, 918 nucleotides long. RefSeq lists it as uncharacterized. The record is from RefSeq and is a predicted model, not a curated record. The transcript has 4 exons. NCBI's taxonomy places the organism in Eukaryota, Viridiplantae, Streptophyta, Magnoliopsida, Brassicales, Brassicaceae.